This 150-nucleotide non-coding RNA is filed under the name Bathycoccus prasinos. Lineage: Eukaryota; Viridiplantae; Chlorophyta; Mamiellophyceae; Mamiellales; Bathycoccaceae. The record is from RNAcentral.
GAGUUGUAGUAACAAACACCAAAUCGCGUAAAUGCGUUUUCCUUUCCUUUUCGAGGAAGGAGAGCUUUUUUUGGUUGAAGAAAAGGACGACGAGACGACGACGUAAAAGAGGACGGCGCGACGAUUACGACGUUGCAGUCGUUGCAGUAU